AUUCCAGCUCCAAUAGCGUAUAUUAAAGUUGUUGCGGUUAAAAAGCUCGUAGUUGGAUUUCUGCUGAGGAUGACCGGUCCGCCCUCCGGGUGAGUAUCUGGCUCAGCCUUGGCAUCUUCCUGAAGAACGUAACUGCACUUGACUGUGUGGUGCGGUAUUUAGGACAUUUACUUUGAGGAAAUUAGAGUGUUUCAAGCAAGCGCACGCCUUGAAUACAUUAGCAUGGAAUAAUAAGAUAGGACUAUGGUACUAUUUUGUUGGUUUGUGCACCAUGGUAAUGAUUAAUAGGGACAGUUGGGGGUAUUCGUAUUCCAUUGUCAGAGGUGAAAUUCUUGGAUUUAUGGGAGACGAACUACUGCGAAAGCAUUUACCAAGGAUGUUUUCAUUA
This 388-nucleotide ribosomal RNA is filed under the name Pelagodinium sp. Its description in RNAcentral is "partial small subunit ribosomal RNA". It matches the Rfam family "Eukaryotic small subunit ribosomal RNA", at positions 582 to 975 of the family's 1831-position model. The record is from RNAcentral. Lineage: Eukaryota; Dinophyceae; Suessiales; Suessiaceae.